This 259-nucleotide ribosomal RNA is filed under the name uncultured bacterium. RNAcentral's name for it is "partial 16S ribosomal RNA". It matches the Rfam family "Bacterial small subunit ribosomal RNA", at positions 96 to 354 of the family's 1533-position model. The record is from RNAcentral.
UGGCGGACGGGUGAGUAACGCGUGGGUAACCUGCCUCACACAGGGGGGAUAACAGUUGGAAACGACCGCUAAUACCGCAUAAGCCAACAGGGGCGCAUGCUCUGGUUGGAAAAGAUUAAUCGGUGUGAGAUGGACCCGCGUCUGAUUAGCCAGUUGGCAGGGUAACGGCCUACCAAAGCGACGAUCAGUAGCCGGCCUGAGAGGGUGAACGGCCACAUUGGGACUGAGACACGGCCCAAACUCCUACGGGAGGCAGCAG